RNAcentral lists this transfer RNA (58 nucleotides) under Haemophilus influenzae. RNAcentral describes it as "tRNA-Val". Lineage: Bacteria; Pseudomonadati; Pseudomonadota; Gammaproteobacteria; Pasteurellales; Pasteurellaceae. The record is from RNAcentral.
UGGCGAUUAGCUCAGUUGGGAGAGCACCUCCCUUACAAGGAGGGAGCGGUAUCGCCCA